GCGGGAGUAGCUCAGUUGGUAGAGCGACAGCCUUCAAGCUGUAGGUCGCGGUUCGAGCCUCGUCUCCCGCU
This 71-nucleotide transfer RNA is filed under the name Saprospiraceae bacterium. RNAcentral describes it as "tRNA-OTHER". It matches the Rfam family "tRNA". Rfam says of the family: Transfer RNA (tRNA) molecules are approximately 80 nucleotides in length. Their secondary structure includes four short double-helical elements and three loops (D, anti-codon, and T loops). Further hydrogen bonds mediate the characteristic L-shaped molecular structure. tRNAs have two regions of fundamental functional importance: the anti-codon, which is responsible for specific mRNA codon recognition, and the 3' end, to which the tRNAs corresponding amino acid is attached (by aminoacyl-tRNA synthetases). tRNAs cope with the degeneracy of the genetic code in two manners: having more than one tRNA (with a specific anti-codon) for a particular amino acid; and 'wobble' base-pairing, i.e. permitting non-standard base-pairing at the 3rd anti-codon position. The record is from RNAcentral. Lineage: Bacteria; Pseudomonadati; Bacteroidota; Saprospiria; Saprospirales; Saprospiraceae.